This 463-nucleotide ribosomal RNA is filed under the name uncultured bacterium. RNAcentral describes it as "partial 16S ribosomal RNA". It matches the Rfam family "Bacterial small subunit ribosomal RNA", at positions 338 to 795 of the family's 1533-position model. The record is from RNAcentral.
CCUACGGGAGGCAGCAGUGGGGAAUCUUCCGCAAUGGGCGAAAGCCUGACGGAGCAACGCCGCGUGAUCGAAUGAAGGCCUUCGGGUUGUAAAGAUCUGUUGACAGGGACGAAUAAGCAAUGCGAAUAGAUGUGUGUAUGACGGUACCCGGAGAAAAAGCAUCGGCUAACUCCGGGCCAGCAGCCGCGGUAAUACGGAGGAUGCGAGCGUUAUCCGGAUUCAUUGGGUUUAAAGGGUGCGCAGGCGGGCGUUUAAGCCGGCGGUGAAAUCGGGGGACUCAACCCCGCCGAGCCGUCGGAACGGGGGGCCUUGAGUGCGGCGGAGGCAUGCGGAAUGCGCGGUGUAGCGGUGAAAUGCAUAGAUAUCGCGCAGAACCCCGAUUGCGAAGGCAGCGUACCGUGCCGCCACUGACGCUGAGGCACGAAAGCGCGGGGAUCGAACAGGAUUAGAUACCCGUGUAGUC